This 303-nucleotide ribosomal RNA is filed under the name uncultured Catellicoccus sp. RNAcentral describes it as "bacterial SSU rRNA". It matches the Rfam family "Bacterial small subunit ribosomal RNA", at positions 1088 to 1392 of the family's 1533-position model. The record is from RNAcentral. Lineage: Bacteria; Bacillati; Bacillota; Bacilli; Lactobacillales; Enterococcaceae.
CGCAACGAGCGCAACCCUUGUCGUUAGUUGCCAUCAUUCAGUUGGGCACUCUAGCGAGACUGCCGGUGACAAACCGGAGGAAGGUGGGGAUGACGUCAAAUCAUCAUGCCCCUUAUGACCUGGGCUACACACGUGCUACAAUGGACGGUACAACGAGCAGCGAACUCGCGAGGGCAAGCGAAUCUCUUAAAGCCGUUCUCAGUUCGGAUUGCAGGCUGCAACUCGCCUGCAUGAAGCCGGAAUCGCUAGUAAUCGUGGAUCAGCAUGCCACGGUGAAUACGUUCCCGGGCCUUGUACACACCA